Molecule: long non-coding RNA, 938 nt
Organism: Maniola jurtina (meadow brown)
Lineage: Eukaryota; Metazoa; Arthropoda; Insecta; Lepidoptera; Nymphalidae
Exons: 4
Source: RefSeq, a predicted model, not a curated record
GGAACAAAAAUGGAAAGAGUAAAAACCAGAAAACCACAGAGUGACAGAGCACCAGAGAAAUCAGAAACGUAAAAGUUUUGUUAGAAGCACAAAAGAAAAUUAAAAAGAGUUUCCAUUGGCAACAACUGCUUCAUUAUCUCAAUCAAGGUACAUAAUACAUGCAUGUAUAAGCUUUAUCCUGAUUAUAAAUCAAAAGAGGACUACCUAAUAAACAUCAACCUAGGUUACCAGACUUAUAAGUUACAUGAUAUUAGCAGAAACUACUGAAGGAAAUGGCUAGGGGCUCACCCCCUCGCCAUUUUAAUUGCUCUACUAGUGUUAGCUUUUCGAUAUUAGUUAUUUGCUUCAGUUUGUCAGUAUACAAUAUUAUUUUUAAAGAAUUAGUUUGAAUUAAAAGAAAUGGUCAAGAUUUUUUUUUUUUAUUGAAAGUAGUUUAAUGAAUUAAACAAUAUUUGACUCAUUCGAUGUCACGCGUUCUGUGGCGGGAAAGCCAUCUUGAAUUCAUUUUUCAAAAAUAACGGUUUGAACAUUCGAAGUUCGUUCGGACGCGAGACUCGAUGACUAUUUAAGUAUUUAAAUACUUUUGUGUUUAAGUUGCCAUUAAUAUUGUAGUUAGGUUAUUUAAAGGAUUAAAAUUCUUGAUCAGCCUCAUGAGUGAGGAUAUAUUAUGUAAGUCACAAAAUAUCCUCGCGCAACCUUAAUAUCAGAGGACAUUUUAAUAAUUUAUAAAAUUAGUUAAAUUAUACUUGCUCUUCUGGCUUACGCUUUUACUAGUUUUAAAGUGCCUAGUAUAUAUUGUAUACCUAGUAUAAACCUACCUACCUAGUAUAUAGUAAUUACCUAACUGUAUAUUGUAAUUUUGUUUGCAAAAUAGAUAAAUAAGAUGUUAAAAUGGGAUUUAAUUAAAGUUUAUUUUAAAAAUAAAACAAUACCAUCAA